RNAcentral lists this long non-coding RNA (2108 nucleotides) under Zalophus californianus (California sea lion). Its description in RNAcentral is "lncRNA (ENSZCAG00015022395.1)". The record is from RNAcentral. Lineage: Eukaryota; Metazoa; Chordata; Mammalia; Carnivora; Otariidae.
ACCUCUUCUUGACCCAAUCCUGACCUUGCUCAUACCCUACAUGGAGCCCACCCUGACCCAACCUCAGCCCAGCCCCCAUGUCACUCACACAGGGUAGAGUAUGAAUCCAUGGCCAACUUCCUAACCUCCUGGAAUCUCUCCAACUGUCAUGGAACCUCCUCCCUGCCCCCAGCUGCAGGCCAGACUGAAGCCCUGAGGCCUGCCCCUGGACAGCAGGAGAGACCAGAGAACACAGAAGAAGGGUCAGAGAGAUCCAAACCACAAAGAACAGAGCCUAAACCUGGGAAAGAGACCAAGAAACUCCUAGGUGGCCAUGAAGGUGCCUGGAAGGAGGGGCUAAAGCAGUUGGCAGGCUGUUUAGUUCAUCUGGGAACUGGUCUUGCCCUGCAUUUCCACAUGUCCCAGAGGCCUCAACCUUACCACAAGAGCACCCAGCCAGAUGUCCUUCCAGCAGCUCCCGGUAAUACCCAAAAGGAGACCCCAAGCUCUCCGUCCAUUCUCCACAGUCACCGGGUCAGCACCCAAGAACCCCUGCCCACUCUCCAUAAUCGCCAAGUCAGCACCCAAGAACCCCUGCCCACUCUCCACAAUCGCCGGGUCAGCAUCCAAGAACCCCUGCCUACUAUCCACAAUCGCCGUGUCAGCAUCCAAGAAUCUCCACUAGUCAACAGUCGCUGGGGCAGUAUCCAAGACACACUGUCCAUUAUCAACAGUCGCCGGGUCAGUACUGAGAACACACCAGCCGCUGUUAGCAGUCGCCGGGUCAGUAUCCAAGAUGCACCAUCAGUUACCUACAGUCGCUGUUUCAAUACCCAAGAUGUUCCACCCAUUUUCCAAACUCGCUACUUCAGCAUUCACAAUUCUCUGUUAAUUACUCACAACUCCCUGACCAAUAUAGAGUCAGUUACCUACAGCAGCAGUCCAGCCAGUAGCAAUAACCAUGGGACAACAAGCUGGAGUCCCUGCUCAAGUAUUCAAGGCCUCACAUUGCCAAUCCAGGCCAAAGUCGAUGCCCUCCCUUCAAUUACUCACAGCCCCACGGCCAGUAUCAAAAGCGUCGAUUCAAUCAUCUGGACCUCUCAGGAGAGUUUCAGAGGCUCUGUGGACAGCGCCCAAUUCAACAAAAGUACUCUAGACAACAAUAUCCAGAGCAUACAGUCAAGCAGAUCCAAUGAGAUCCAUUCUGGCGGGUUUCAGAACAAGGGUAGAUACAGCCAUUCACAGCUGCCCAUGGGCUGGCGGCUGCUGCAUGGAGCCAAGAAGAUCAGCCGCCAGCUGAGCCUGGCACUGAGCCUGGUUGGCAUGAUGAUCAUCGCUCUCAUCUCUCUGGGCCAGCCCUGGAUCCACUUCCAGGUGCCACUCAGACCUCCUGGGCACCCUGAUGGCUCCUUGACCAUCCCCAUCAACACCAUCCUCUUUGUGCGGUGCCCUGACGUCUCCUGCCUACAUGAGUACGACCAGAAUGCUUAUUUGUUGGACUUUGCCUGGGCCUUUCUCCUCCUCGCCAGCAUCGCCAGCUUCUGCCUCUGCAUUUUACUCAUAAACAUCAUCUUCUUCACCAGCUCCAACGUGCCCUUGCUGGACUUCUCCAACGUCAUCUUCAGCAUCCUGGCAGGGACCAGCAUCAUCUUGGGUAUCCUGUUCUACCUGAUGCAGGCCAGUGGGUACCUGCAGGAAGGCAUGACCUACAGGCUGGGGCGCAGCUUCUACCUGGCAUGGAUCGGCGUCUUUCUCUUCCUGAUGACUGGUUUCUUUUCCUAUCUGAACUACAUGAAUUUCUGGUCCACCCUGGCGCUCCAGGCCAUCUGGACUUAGGACAUGGGAAUGACUCCAACACUCCAGGCCUGUUCCCAUGGCUCCCUGCCAAGUACCUGACAACCCUGCUCUCUAGUUGAGAGUCUUGCCCUUUUCAGUCCCCUCUGAAUACCCCCGCUCGGAUUAAUAAUUAGUAUAUUUAAAUAAUCUGUAUUUUUUUGUCCAGAAUAUUCUCUUAGCUCAGUACGUUGUUAAGGGUUCUGUGGAAAUGCCAUCUCUCCGUGGGCCCAUCCCUUGGGCCCUCUGGGGUAGAGGGAUAGGUAAGGGAAGGAACUCAGGAGAAAGAGAUGAAA